AGAGUUUGAUCAUGGCUCAGGACGAACGCUGGCGGCGUGCUUAAUACAUGCAAGUCGAACGGGGUCCAUUCGGUGGUAACACCGAUGAAGACCUAGUGGCGAACGGGUGCGUAACACGUGAGCAACCUGCCCCGAAGACCGGGAUAACACCGGGAAACCAGUGCUAAUACCGGAUACCCCCACCAUCUCGCAUGGGAAGGUGAGGAAAGGAUUCUGCUUCGGGAGGGGCUCGCGGCCUAUCAGCUUGUUGGUGAGGUAACGGCCCACCAAGGCGACGACGGGUAGCUGGUCUGAGAGGACGAUCAGCCACACUGGGACUGAGACACGGCCCAGACUCCUACGGGAGGCAGCAGUAGGGAAUCUUGCGCAAUGGGCGAAAGCCUGACGCAGCAACGCCGCGUGGGGGAUGAAGGCCUUCGGGUUGUAAACUCCUUUCAGUGGGAACGAAAUUGACGGUACCCACAGAAGAAGCCCCGGCCAACUACGUGCCAGCAGCCGCGGUGAUACGUAGGGGGCGAGCGUUGUCCGGAUUUAUUGGGCGUAAAGAGCUCGUAGGCGGUUUGGCAAGUCGGGUGUGAAACCUCCAGGCUUAACCUGGAGACGCCACUCGAGACUGCCAUGACUAGAGUCUGGUAGGGGACCAUGGAAUUCCUGGUGUAGCGGUGAAAUGCGCAGAUAUCAGGAGGAACACCAGUAGCGAAGGCGGUGGUCUGGGCCAGUACUGACGCUGAGGAGCGAAAGCGUGGGGAGCGAACAGGAUUAGAUACCCCCGUAGUCC
RNAcentral lists this ribosomal RNA (778 nucleotides) under uncultured bacterium. RNAcentral's name for it is "bacterial SSU rRNA". It matches the Rfam family "Bacterial small subunit ribosomal RNA", at positions 8 to 796 of the family's 1533-position model. The record is from RNAcentral.